Molecule: ribosomal RNA, 729 nt
Filed under: uncultured rumen bacterium
Lineage: Bacteria
Description: bacterial SSU rRNA
Rfam family: Bacterial small subunit ribosomal RNA
Source: RNAcentral
UGUCUUAUACAUGCAAGUCGAGCGAGGCAGCAAUGCCGAGCGGCGAACGGGUGAGUAACGCGUAAGCAAUCUGCCCCAUAUCAGGAAAUACCCGUGCCAACGCGCGGUUAAUGUCCAGGAGAGUGGCUCCCUGCAUGGGGAGUUGACUAGAGAUUUAUCGGUAUGGGAUGAGCUUGCGUCCGAUUAGCUAGUUGGCGGGGCAACGGCCCACCAAGGCGACGAUCGGUAGCCGGCCUGAGAGGGUGAUCGGCCACAUUGGGACUGAGAUACGGCCCAGACUCCUACGGGAGGCAGCAGUAGGGAAUAUUGCACAAUGGGGGAAACCCUGAUGCAGCAACGCCACGUGUGGGAAGAAGCAUUUCGGUGUGUAAACCACUGUCAUGAGGGAAUAAGGCCCGCCUCCGGGCGGGAUUGAAUGUACCUUGAGAGGAAGCACCGGCAAACUUCGUGCCAGCAGCCGCGGUAAUACGAGGGGUGCAAGCGUUGUUCGGAAUUACUGAGCGUAAAGGGAGCGUAGGCGGAGAUUCAAGCGGAUUGUACAAUCCCGGGGCCCAACCCCGGCUCUGCAGUCCGAACUGGAUCUCUUGGAUAGUUCAGGGGCAGGCGGAAUUCCUGGUGUAGCGGUGGAAUGCGUAGAGAUCAGGAAGAACACCGAUGGCGAAGGCAGCCUGCUGGGGACUCAUCGACGCUGAGGCUCGAAAGUGCGGGUUGCAAACAGGAUUAGAUACC